RNAcentral lists this small RNA (570 nucleotides) under Pongo abelii (Sumatran orangutan). Its description in RNAcentral is "processed transcript". The record is from RNAcentral. Lineage: Eukaryota; Metazoa; Chordata; Mammalia; Primates; Hominidae.
AGAAGCCAGAUGACUCUGCCUGCGCAGGAAUGAAGAGCGACCCGGCGCGGGAGGGAGGGAGGCCCCUGCGCUUUGGCUCCGGCCGCGCCUCCUCCCUGGGAUCCGGUCUAGGGCUGGCGAGCUCCGCGGGACCCUGCUCAGGGCGGGGCUGCUGCACCACCUGCCGCGGGUGGCCAAAGCAGAAAAAAAAAAAAAGAAAAAAUGGGAGUGGGGAAUACAAAUGUCUCAUUUUCUUUUAAAGAAUGGUGAAACUAACAGAGGAGAAUCUGAAAAAAAGAGAAACCUGGAUGAACUUUCACGGACAACCUCAGAGGACAAUGAAGUGUUUGGACUCACACCAUGCAGCAAGAACUGCUCACUACGGCUCCCUGCCCCAGAAGUCACACGGCCGGACCCAAGAUGAAAACCCCGUAGUCCACUUCUUCAAGAACAUUGUGACACCUCGCACACCACCCCCGUCGCAGGGAAAGGGGGCCGAAGGCCAGAGACCAGGAUUUGGCUACGGAGGCAGAGCGUCCGACUAUAAAUCGGCUCACAAGGGAUUCAAGGGAGUCGAUGCCCAGGGCACGC